Folsomia candida is the source of this 999-nucleotide long non-coding RNA. RefSeq lists it as uncharacterized. NCBI's taxonomy places the organism in Eukaryota, Metazoa, Arthropoda, Collembola, Entomobryomorpha, Isotomidae. The record is from RefSeq and is a predicted model, not a curated record. The transcript is spliced from 2 exons.
AUUGACAUGGACCACAUGAUUUCAAAAUUUCAACCAAAUCGGAGGGUUACACUCAACUGCCACUGCUGUUGUACGUUUGAGACAAAAAAUCAAUUGCAGAUAUUGAUGCGAUGGUGGGGCACAUGCCUACCCGUAUAUAAUUAGUUCAAAAAAAGAAGUCGGAGUCGCUAGAUUACAAUACCUACUGUGUAUUAUCAUCUCAAUCGAGGGCGCUCAGUGUAAUGCCUAUUCUCUCCAUCCUCUCCACCUUCCAUCUACAUCUUGUUCCAUGGGUUACACCAUCGCAUUACCAAGUGUAUUUUUAGAAAGAAAACGGUGAAGAAUGUUGGUCAGAGUCCUAAGGUAAGUUAAGGUGUAGUAUAGGGGGUCUAAAAUCGGAAAAUUUUGAAAAUCCGGUUUUUCGAUUAUUGUGGCGUCUGCUCUGAUUACACCACUGGGUCAGUCCCAAUCAGAUACCCUCUGACCAGCGUUACACCGAAUUUGACGUCGAGGAUGAUUACUACGACUAGGAGGUCAGCUGGUAAAUCCACUCAGAGUAGCAAAAUAAAUAUAACUGAAAACUUGUUAUAAAUCUCUUAAAUAAUUGCUACUUUAUUUACUGUGGAUUAAUUAAUUGUGAACAUUUUCUCAAAACACGUCCAAACUACUUGAGUACUUUUAACAAACUUAAAAACGAGGGCCAAGAAAACAAUGAGAUGACGAAAACUGCGCUCGUGCGAAACGUCAGGGACAACCUAAAACUAACAUUCAUACAUGUCAUCUCAUCAUAAAAUUUUACAUGAAAAAUUACAUUAAUAUUACUCGUGAGAUUCGACAAUUAUUCCAAUUACUUAAAAUUUCGUAAACCCGGUUUUCGAUUAAUCUAACUUUGGGAAACCUUACACAACCGGUUUUCGAUUAGUCCGAUUUUGGAAAAUAUUACGAAACCUGUUUUCGACUCUGGUUUUGUUGCAAAUUUUAAAAAGUUUGCAAAUAUAAAGACAAAAAUUGUAUACAAAA